RNAcentral lists this ribosomal RNA (460 nucleotides) under uncultured bacterium. Its description in RNAcentral is "partial 16S ribosomal RNA". It matches the Rfam family "Bacterial small subunit ribosomal RNA", at positions 338 to 795 of the family's 1533-position model. The record is from RNAcentral.
CCUACGGGUGGCAGCAGUGAGGAAUAUUGGUCAAUGGACGAGAGUCUGAACCAGCCAAGUAGCGUGAAGGAUGACUGCCCUAUGGGUUGUAAACUUCUUUUAUAUGGGAAUAAAAUGUUCCACGUGUGGGAUUUUGUAUGUACCAUAUGAAUAAGGAUCGGCUAACUCCGUGCCAGCAGCCGCGGUAAUCCGGAGGAUCCGAGCGUUAUCCGGAUUUAUUGGGUUUAAAGGGAGCGUAGGUGGAUUGUUAAGUCAGUUGUGAAAGUUUGCGGCUCAACCGUAAAAUUGCAGUUGAAACUGGCAGUCUUGAGUACAGUAGAGGUGGGCGGAAUUCGUGGUGUGGCGGUGAAAUGCUUAGAUAUCACGAAGAACUACGAUUGCGAAGGCAGUUCACUGGACUGCAACUGACACUGAGGCUCGAAAGUGUGGGUAUCAAACAGGAUUAGAUACCCGAGUAGUC